Molecule: ribosomal RNA, 464 nt
Filed under: uncultured bacterium
Lineage: Bacteria
Description: partial 16S ribosomal RNA
Rfam family: Bacterial small subunit ribosomal RNA
Source: RNAcentral
CCUACGGGGGGCAGCAGUAGGGAAUCUUCCACAAUGGGCGAAAGCCUGAUGGAGCAACGCAGCGUGGGUGAAGAAGGUCUUCGGAUCGUAAAACCCUGUUGUUAGAGAAGAAAGAGCGUGAGAGUAACUGUUCACGUUUCGACGGUAUCUAACCAGAAAGCCACGGCUAACUACGUGCCAGCAGCCGCGGUAAUACGGAGGUGGAAAGGUUUAUCCGGAUUUAUGGGGCGAAAAGGUAACACAGGCGGUCUUUUAAGUCUGAUGUGAAAGCCGUCGGCUUAACCGGAGUAGUGCAUUGGAAACUGGGAGACUUGAGUGCAGAAGAGGAGAGUGGAACUCCAGGUGUAGCGGUGAAAUGCGUAGAUAUAUGGAAGAACACCAGUGGCGAAAGCGGCUCUCUGGUCUGUAACUGACGCUGGGGUUCGAAAGCGUGGGUAGCAAACAGGAUUAGAUACCCUGUAGUC